GAUUGAUUUAAAGGGCCGCGGUAAUUUGACCGUGCGAAGGUAGCAUAGUCAGUAGUCUUUUAAUUGAAGGCUUGAAUGAAAGGUUGGACGAGGGAUGAGCUGUCUCCUUUACGUAAUUUGAAUUUAACUUUUGAGUGAAAAGGCUUAAAUUAUUUAGUGGGACGAUAAGACCCUAUAAAACUUUAUAUAAGUUUAAUUUGGCUUACAAUUUGAGUGAAAAGUAGCUUUAUUAGGUUUAUAUUUCGUUGGGGAGAUGUAGAUAUAAUGUGUAACUGUCUGUUUAAUUUAAUAAUUAUAAUUAGUGUGUGAUCCUUCUUUGUGGAUUAAAAGUGUAAGUUACUUUAGGGAUAACAGCGUGAUUUUCUUUGAGAGUUCUUAUCGACAAGAGUAGUUGCGACCUCGAUGUUGAAUUAAAAUUUCGGUUAGGUGUAGCCGUCUAGCUGGUAGGUCUGUUCGACCUUUAAAAUUUUACAUGAUUUGAGUUCAAACCGGUGUGAGCCAGG
This 503-nucleotide ribosomal RNA is filed under the name Macrobrachium nipponense. RNAcentral's name for it is "partial large subunit ribosomal RNA". It matches the Rfam family "Bacterial large subunit ribosomal RNA", at positions 1916 to 2630 of the family's 2925-position model. Lineage: Eukaryota; Metazoa; Arthropoda; Malacostraca; Decapoda; Palaemonidae. The record is from RNAcentral.